RNAcentral lists this ribosomal RNA (403 nucleotides) under bacterium. Its description in RNAcentral is "partial 16S ribosomal RNA". It matches the Rfam family "Bacterial small subunit ribosomal RNA", at positions 355 to 776 of the family's 1533-position model. The record is from RNAcentral.
UGGGGAAUAUUGCACAAUGGGGGAAACCCUGAUGCAGCGACGCCGCGUGAACGAAGAAGGUAUUCGUAUCGUAAAGUUCUGUCCUAUGGGAAGAUAAUGACAGUACCAUAGAAGAAAGCUCCGGCUAAAUACGUGCCAGCAGCCGCGGUAAUACGUAUGGAGCGAGCGUUGUCCGGAAUUAUUGGGCGUAAAGGGUACGCUGGCGGUUUAAUAAGUCGAAUGUUAAAGAUCGGGGCUCAACCCCGUAAAGCAUUGGAAACUGAUAAACUUGAGUAGUGGAGAGGAAAGUGGAAUUCCUAGUGUAGUGGUGAAAUACGUAGAUAUUAGGAGGAAUACCAGUAGCGAAGGCGACUUUCUGGACACAAACUGACGCUGAGGUACGAAAGCGUGGGGAGCAAACAGG